CCUACGGGGGGCAGCAGUGGGGAAUUUUGCGCAAUGGGCGAAAGCCUGACGCAGCAACGCCGCGUGGGUGAUGAAGGUCUUCGGAUCGUAAAACCCUGUCGUUGGGGACGAAGGUGGGGGCGUUAAUAGCGUUUCUGCUUGACGGUACCCGGAGAGGAAGCCCCGGCUAACUCUGUGCCAGCAGCCGCGGUAAUACAGAGGGGGCAAGUUGGGCUUGGAAUUAUUGGGGGUGGUGUUCGAAGUGAGGGGUGUAAUCCCCGAGCUCAACCUGGGAACUGCAUCUGAGACUGGAAGGCUAGAGUACUGGAGAGGGUGGUGGAAUUCCUCGUGUAGCGGUGAAAUGCGUAGAGAUGAGGAGGAACACCAGUGGCGAAGGCGGCCACCUGGACAGUAACUGACGCUGAGGCGCGAAAGUGUGGGGAGCAAACAGGAUUAGAUACCCCAGUAGUC
Molecule: ribosomal RNA, 450 nt
Filed under: uncultured bacterium
Lineage: Bacteria
Description: partial 16S ribosomal RNA
Rfam family: Bacterial small subunit ribosomal RNA
Source: RNAcentral